This is a long non-coding RNA of Scatophagus argus, 542 nucleotides long. RefSeq lists it as uncharacterized. The transcript has 2 exons. The record is from RefSeq and is a predicted model, not a curated record. Lineage: Eukaryota; Metazoa; Chordata; Actinopteri; Scatophagidae.
ACAAUAUGCUAAUGAGCUGGGGAGCCUUUAAGUGUCAGAGCUCAGCCAGCACAGCAGUUAGGAGCCUGUGAACCUGACAAGGAUGCAUAGCAACCACAAAAUACGAGCACGUGGAACAAAGUGUCUGCGAGCCAUACAGAACCUCAGCACUGCAUGCACAAAGAUUACAAACACAGCGGGAACUCGCUGCUAACAGUUAUUUCUUGUGCCCUGGACAGGAUAUCAUCUUAUACUGUAAGUUUAUUAAAGAGACACUACAGUAUAGAUGAUGUACUAUCCAGGGUGUCAUUCCCCCUCCGGCUCCGUCAGCACACAUUCAGGCCUAAGUGACUGCGGUAGUCUGCACACGCAGCAGAGGAGGGCCAUCAAACCGUUACCAUUACUGAGUUUUAGUAAUGGUAAGGGUUCUAUGGCCCUCGCUCAAUGCCAUCAGGACUGGGAAGAUGAAAAAAGCUUGUAGCUGAUGUGUUAUUCAUGAUCUUCUGAUUCCAUUUUUGAGAUGUACUUGUGCAUGCGUGAAAAUAAAUCUUAUGGCUUUCAAA